Molecule: RNA transcript, 3154 nt
Organism: Magnolia sinica
Lineage: Eukaryota; Viridiplantae; Streptophyta; Magnoliopsida; Magnoliales; Magnoliaceae
Exons: 5
Source: RefSeq, a predicted model, not a curated record
AACAUGAUUUGCAGGGGGAUAUUUUGCCGAAGAAAGGGAGAUUUUCGAAAGGAAGAUUUCGUUUGCAUUGACAACUCCCCAUCUCAUGAAGGGGUAUUUUCGAUUGACAGUUUCAAAACCGUAAAUCCAACCCAAUUCGAGAAGAAAUCCCCCAUAAUUCUGGAUUUUUCGCCGAAAUCAUCCAUCUUGCGACAUCGAUCGAAGAGGGAGCUAUCAAUCGAUGUCAGAUCCUCUUCUUCCGAGUUCCGAUCAACCAGGGCCUAGAUUUCAACGGUUUGAUCGAUUCUUGAUACCCCUUGUUCAAUGGCUGAACACAUGCAAAGGCUUCCACAGGUCCAUUCCUUUGUCCCUGCGUUAACGAUGGAGAUUGAUCACGGUCACCAAGUCUGGAGAUUCCAUGAAUAACCGUAUCGGGCAGGGAGCUGCAUUUAUGAUUCAAGGGUAACAAUGGGGGGACAUGGAUUUCCUGCAAAAGGCUUCUGCAGGAACUUCCAAUUGCGGGCACAUCUUGUUGUUUGCACAUUAAUCUUUGCCAGCUCCGCUCUGCCGAUUAAUCAAAAGGAAAAGCAAAAAAAAAAGAGAGAAGGAAAGCUAUGGAAGCUACCAAAGCCGGAGGAGGAGAGAACAUCAGAUCUCUGUUUCCUCUGUAGUCUUCUUACUCCAAUCCAAUUGAGAGUCAACAAAUUUUCUACGAAUUCGAAUCUGCAAUGGCGAGACCCCAGCAGGACGCAAUCGACGCCUUCAUCAACAUCACCAACGCAUCGGAGGCUGUCGCUUUGCAGAAACUUGAGGUGCCUAUUUUUCUUCCAACUCUGUUAGGGUUUCGAUUGCCAGAAUUCAUUUUCUCUUUCCAUCUCUCAUACAAUCCUCCGAUUGCAAAAUUCGUGUUACUAUGACACUUCCAAGGUAACAGAUGAGCUCGUUCAGAAGAUGCUACUGACAGGACUGGAUCUUGGAGCUGUUGAUGUGUUUCUUGAUUUCGUUUGCUACUCAGGUGGUCCUCUACCUGAUUAACUGAUCACCCAAGUUAAGUGCCUAGUUCUAGUGGCAUGGGGAGUCAAGGACCCGUGGGAGCCAAUCAAGCUUGGAAAAGUAUAUGGCGAUUUCGAUUCAGUAGAAGAUUUUAUCAUCCUUCCCAACAUUGGCCAUUGCCUCCAAGUUCUUUCUACCACUUGUAGGAUGGCUUUUAAAUAUCUGUCAAGUCCACAUGCGGUUUAAUGUGGAAGUAGCCCUCAAACCGAAGUUCCAUUCUUUUGGACCUUAAUCGCACAAUUUAAAAUGUUAUGAAAGACAAUUGCGAUAUGGUCCUUUUCUUAUUAUUGUAGUUAUUGCAAUUCAAUUCAUUAGUGCUUCCAAAUGCAACCUUGGCUAUAUCUUGCCUUGCAUUAAAAAGAAAAGAAAUCAUUAUCGAUGGAUCUCACUUUAUCCCGUAGCUAGAAAGAAAAAUUUCCAGGUUGUCACUAAAUACGUAAGAGCAUUUGUGUAAUGGUUGAAGAUGGUUAUGAGUGGUUUGCAGGUCAACCUUGUUCUGAUUGUAUUUGAAAGAGAUGAGGAAGCAGGUUAAAGGAGAUUCUUCCACUGUCAGGUUAAAGCAUCUUAUAUUUUUGGCAGUUAUUCCAUGCAAAAGUAUUAAUUAUUCUUCGCCGCAGAGUCUUCACAGUGCACUCGAGUUUUCAGUUUGUUCAGGUUGGAUCCGUGCUUUAGUGAUCCAAACAGAGGGUGCAAUGUGCUUCACCAGGGAUGGACCACGCACUAGAAGUCCCUGAGAUUGGAAGAUCCCAGCCACCGAGUCAGUCACUAUUGAUCUUUUAACUCUUAACCGUCUGUUUAGUGUCCAUGAAUUGAAGGGAUAAGAUAUCCAAACCUAGGAUAUUUUGGUGUAUGAUCCAUCCAUGGAGCCCAUCAUAUAGAUGGCUUAGAUCAUUGCAUGGUCCAUGCAUGUUGGAGCCCAUCAUAUAGAUGUUUUAGAUCACUGAAACAAGGGCACUACUUUUACAAACUGAAAACCCAUGGUAUUGUAGAAACUCUUGGGCCGAGCAUUGCAUUGCAUAAUAUCUGUUCCAUGUAUAUAUGCUCCUGAAUAGUAUCUCUACCUCCAUGCUUAUAGUUCUACAUGUUCCUUAUAUAGAUUCUGCACUUGUACCCAAGAUGGAGAGGAGCACAACAACUGUAAGUUCAGAAAAACAAUAAGCAAGACAGUAGAAGUUUAGUUCAGGCUACUUUUGGUUGCUCCAAAUAUCAUGAAAAUUCAUCAUUAAUCAUCUAAUUCAGUGCAAAAUAUCUUAAAAAUUUGAUGAUACUUGGUGCCACCAAGCACACCCUUAAUUACUGAAGAAUGAUCAGAAUCUCUCUGGUCACUCCAUUUCAGUAAACCAAGCAACUAGAGCUUGUUAAGAAGCAAUCUGCGGUGAAACACCUUUUGUUAGGUAGUGCACCUAAAGGUUUCUUUAGUCUCACAACACAAUCUUUCAGACACAGGUGGAGCUUGAGACAGUUUGGUUCAUGGAACAAUGGGCCCACAAAUUGAAAGGCUGCUUCGGUUCGAGGAAUCUGAUGUGGAGGACAUGAUUUGGUUUGAAAAUGUCUUUCUAGUAACUUGCCAACAAUAUUCCCAUUAAUACCUCGCCCUCACACCUAACCCCUUUCACAUGAAUACUAGUUAUUGGGCUGUUGUUGUAUAAGUACCAGUUUUUACUUUGACCAUAAUCUUUAGAUUUCUGAUUUUGAAUUUCUAUUAGGGUUUUAAGUUUUUUUUGUUCAUGAAACUAGCCAGUCUCAUAUUAUUCUCACUCAGUUUUUUUUUUUUUUUUUGUUGGCAGUUAUGGUGUUAUAUCUGUACCAGAGGUGAUGGAUUGACAGCCUCUAACUAGCAAUGAUAGAUACCUGGUGGCUGCAAUUGAUGGGGUCUUCGAGAAAAUGACUGGGCAGGAUAUCUGUGAUCUAAUAUGGGAUGUACGCAUUUAAGACAGUGAAAAAUCAGAUUCCGUUUCUACCAACACAAAAUUGUUGGCUGUGUGGAAGGCUAUGUAGCAGUUUAUGUGCAUUUGUAGUUUGUUUUGAAAACUUUAAAUAGACCAUUAAUUGUUUUGUUAGUAUUGUGUUGAUUGUUGUCUUGAUGAAUGUUAAAUGGGUGAAACAUGCACAGGUUCAAUCA